RNAcentral lists this ribosomal RNA (346 nucleotides) under uncultured bacterium. RNAcentral's name for it is "bacterial SSU rRNA". It matches the Rfam family "Bacterial small subunit ribosomal RNA", at positions 8 to 349 of the family's 1533-position model. The record is from RNAcentral.
AGAGUUUGAUCAUGGCUCAGGAUGAACGCUGGCGGCGUGCUUAACACAUGCAAGUCGAACGAGAGAAGAUCGGUGCUUGCACUGAUCCGAUCGAGUGGCGGACGGGUGAGUAACGCGUGGGUAACCUGCCUCAUACAGGGGAAUAACAGUUGGAAACGGCUGCUAAAACCGCAUAAGCGCACAGUAUCGCAUGAUACAGUGUGAAAAACUCCGGUGGUAUGAGAUGGACCCGCGUCUGAUUAGCUAGUUGGUGAGGUAACGGCCACAAGGCAACGAUCAGUAGCCGGCCUGAGAGGGUGAUCGGCCACAUUGGAACUGAGACACGGUCCAAACUCCUACGGGAGCA